GACACCUAGGCAAGUGGUCCUGGGUUGUACAAGAAACAAGGCUGCCGAAGCAGUGGGGAGAAAGCCAGUAAGCUGCACUCAUCUAUAGCCUCUGCUUCAGUUCCUGCCUUCAGGUUCCUGCCCUGACCUCCCUCAGUGAUGGAGCGUGACCUCGAAGUUGUAAGCUGCAAUAAACUCCUCUCCAAGUUGCUUUUGCUUGUGCUAUUAUGCCACACUAGAAACCCGACGAACACAUCCGCACAAAGAGCUUAGGAAGACUCUAGUGCACUGAGAAAUACAGUGGGGAUUAAAAGAACAAGAGAUGCAGGUACAGCACAGAGAAGAAUGCAGUCUUCUGCGAGAGGCCAUCCUCUGCUGGCCAGAUGUGUCUCAACCUUCUGGACUAAAGGAAGGAAGGAGGGAAGGAAGGAAGAAAGAAAGCCUAGCCUUCAAAAAAGAACAACCUCAGAGUAAGAAAGUGAGUCAACUUGGGCUACUGUGGCUAGAUCUCCCGUCAGUCCAUCCUUCCAGUUCUGUGGCUGCCUUGUGGACAGUGCUGCAUUAUAAAUCUGCCUGUCUGUCAGCGCUCUAAGGAGGUGAGAAUGUCCUCAUUUUGGUCAAAUCAUCCUGUCCAGUAAAAUGUUAUAAGAAAG
Molecule: long non-coding RNA, 632 nt
Filed under: Mus spicilegus (steppe mouse)
Lineage: Eukaryota; Metazoa; Chordata; Mammalia; Rodentia; Muridae
Description: lncRNA (ENSMSIG00000007315.1)
Source: RNAcentral